GCACUAAUUAUAUUUCAUCGUGAAACAAACAAGUUGGGGAUUCAGUUAUUUAGACAUUUUCACAUGUAGCUAUUAGUUUUAUUUUAUCUAAAUAGUGGUCACUUUUAUUGAUGUUUUGUAAUUUGAAUAGCGACGUUAUGAGGCUAAUGUUUAUUUUAAGUUAUUCAAGGUACAUUUGUAUUUGUUGUUAACUCAUAUGCGUGUAUUAUAUGUAUGUUGUAGAAGUGGCUGUAUGUGUUCACCUGUUUGAACUAAGUGUAGUUGCUGAUGCGCCAAUACUGCUGUUUAUUUUUGUAAUUACGGUCUUUAUAAGGGUUUUUGUUUUUCUAAGAUUUGACCUUGUGACUUGUUUAACACGCACGUGACAUUGCAAUUGUCAAGAUAAACUUUCUGAUUUUUUCUUCAAGCUUAAGUCAUAAAUGUUGACUCUAUAGAGUCGUUUAAUACCUCUGUUUAACAAUUGUAAGCGAUGAACCAGUUUUUGGACUUUGGACGCACGUGAACCAGAUUCUGACAAGGCCUAAACAUUGUCAAUGUGAACAUUCUGAAUAAGUUAAAUCAAGGUUGAGCUAUAAAAAGGUCAAUUCAUCAAUGGCAGAUACAAAACGAAACCGCGAAUUUCGGUUCUAGUGAUUAUGCUAGCGAGUUGAUGGUCUACGUGUAUCUUAUCUUGUUUAAGCAGAUGCAUAUUUCAAAUGAUCCGUAGUUAAAUUCACGAAAAAGUCAAGCUGCGUGGGUUGCGUUAGUAAGUGACAAACUCAAUUUUUAAGUGAAAAAUUCCUAACGUUUAUCAAAAUGAAUCGCGUGUAGCAUAUUACACGUGAAUUAUAUCAUACACAAACAAAUGGUUUUUCUACCUGCAUCAAGGAGCUGAACAUCAUCCUACAUGAAGGCUACACUGAUCUGCGCUUUCUUGGUCGUCUUCCUGGCCACCUCGUCCGUCUUCGGAACCCCCGUCAACAAUGGCAGAGGAAUGGGUGGCGUCAUGGGCGGUAAGGAAAUGCUGUACGAAUGGGAUGGCGAGAUAGGCGACGAUGGAAUGAUGUACGACUAUGAUGGCACGAGGACCGGUGGACAAAUGGGAGACCGCAACGUAAGGUGUAGGAUGUGGUGCAGAUUCCGCAUGAACGACAGCUGGCGUAUAGUGUGCUGUCUGGGACUCUAGAUACUAGAGCAACACAGAACAAGACGAACAACCCAGAUUACGGAUUGGACUGGAACUCGAUAUCAAUGUAUCACUAUAUAUCAGUAUAUUAUGUGCAGUAACUUGGGGUUGUGUUAUGCUAGCAACAUUUGAUAAAUAUAUGUAUAUUUACUAGAAAUAAAUUGGAAGUUUAGCAAGGUUG
Dreissena polymorpha is the source of this 1346-nucleotide long non-coding RNA. RefSeq lists it as uncharacterized. Lineage: Eukaryota; Metazoa; Mollusca; Bivalvia; Myida; Dreissenidae. The record is from RefSeq and is a predicted model, not a curated record. The transcript is spliced from 5 exons.